CCCCCCGACUAUACCUGCCGUGAGAGGGGAACCUUGAAGAUCGAUGCACACACACACUGGACUAGCUGGUUAGCCAGCUCCCCAGUAGCUGGUUAGCCAAUUUCCACAAGCUAGUUCAACGUCUUGUCCCGUGAGAGGGGAACUUGGAAAUCGGGGCAAGCCAUACUUGAGGGUUAGUCAGCCAGGUGAAAUAAUCCCAGUUGUGGGCCCAUUAGGGCUGACAGUAUGGGAAGGAAGUUGAGAAGCCCCCCCUCUUCCCAGCUACGUCUUGUGCUGCGAAAGGGUAACCUUGCAGACUGGUGCAAGCCUCACUGAAUGAGGCCCACCUGUUGAGACCCGUUCCUGAGGGGCAUGAGGCAUGUGUGCUGAGCCGGGAGGGGUGAAACCCGGCAAUUGGCACAGCACAAACUGAAGGGAGACACUUGCUGUGAGUGUUUUUGGUGCCUCAGACUUAAGGUGGUGCUGCCUUGUCUGAUGUACGGUCAAGCACCCUACUGCUCCCUUUGGGCAGCAGAAUUUGUCCUGACCUCUUACCCACCCAAGUCUGUGCUUUGUUCCUCUGUCCUGUGUUUCUGAUCCACCUCGCUGUCUCCCCGCUGCGCUGCUCUUCUCUCAAGUGGGUUAAAUCUCAGCAUGAUUACCUGCCAUGUUUCUGCUCAAGGGUAAUGCCCAACAUGACAGAGAUAGCUGGUGCAUGGCAGUCGUCACGAGACCAUCCGGACCCUCUGGUGGUCGCUGUAGUCAUUUUGCGUUGCAUGGGGCACACUGAGUCACUUAACCGAAAGACUCUAAAUAACGCAAAAGAGGUACCCUUUGGGGUUUGGUAUAUAGCCAAAUACCUCAUCAUCUAAUUAGUGACACACAUGAAUUGAUGAAUGAGAUCCCCACUGUCCCUACCUACUAUCUAGCAAAACCACAGCCAAGGGAACAGGCUUGGCAGAAUCAGCAGGGAAAGAAGACCCUGUUGAGCCUGACUCUAGUCUGGCACUGUGAAGAGACAUGAGAGGUAUAGAAUAAGUGGGAGGCCCCCAGGUCGCUGGUGAAAUACCAUUACUCUUAUCAUUUUUUCACUUACCUGGUGAGGCGGGGGGGCAAGCCCUGAGGGGCUCUCGCUUCUGACUCCAAACGCCCGGCAUGUGCUGGGCGCGACCCACUCCGGGGACAGUGGCAGGUGGGGAGUUUGACUGGGGUGGUACACCUGUCAAACCGUAAUGCAGUUGUCCUAAGGCGAGCUCAGGGAGGACACAGAAACCUCCCGUGGAGCAGAAAGGCAAAAGCUCGCUUGAUCUUGAUUUUCAGUAUGAAUACAGACCGUGAAAGCAGGUCUUCACAAUCCUUCUGACUUUUUGGGUUUUAAGCAGGAGGUGUCAGAAAAGUUACCACAGGGAUUUGCAACCUUUCAGGCACAGGUACCCUUCUUCA
RNAcentral lists this ribosomal RNA (1422 nucleotides) under Gavialis gangeticus (Gharial). RNAcentral describes it as "eukaryotic LSU rRNA". It matches the Rfam family "Eukaryotic large subunit ribosomal RNA", at positions 2007 to 2985 of the family's 3401-position model. Lineage: Eukaryota; Metazoa; Chordata; Crocodylia; Gavialidae. The record is from RNAcentral.